GAAUUGCUUUGGCAAUACAUACAUUAAAAUUGGAACGAUACAUAGAAAAUUAGCGUGGCCCCUGCGCAAGGAUGACAUGCAAAUUCAUGAUGCAUUUCUCAUUUUA
This is a small nuclear RNA of Lampris incognitus (smalleye Pacific opah), 106 nucleotides long. Lineage: Eukaryota; Metazoa; Chordata; Actinopteri; Lampriformes; Lampridae. The record is from RefSeq and is a predicted model, not a curated record.